Molecule: ribosomal RNA, 207 nt
Filed under: uncultured bacterium
Lineage: Bacteria
Description: partial 16S ribosomal RNA
Rfam family: Bacterial small subunit ribosomal RNA
Source: RNAcentral
CGUGUAGGCGGAGCUGCAAGUCAGAUGUGAAAUCCCGGGGCUCAACCCCGGAACUGCAUUUGAAACUGUAGCCCUUGAGUAUCGGAGAGGCAAGCGGAAUUCCUAGUGUAGCGGUGGAAUGCGUAGAGAUUAGGAGGAACACCAGUGGCGAAAGCGACUUACUGGCCUGCAACUGACACUGAAGCACGAAAGCGUGGGGAGCAAACA